This 362-nucleotide unclassified non-coding RNA is filed under the name uncultured fungus. RNAcentral's name for it is "partial contains 5.8S ribosomal RNA and internal transcribed spacer 2". The stretch from base 1 to 133 matches the Rfam family "5.8S ribosomal RNA", at positions 22 to 154 of the family's 154-position model. Lineage: Eukaryota; Fungi. The record is from RNAcentral.
UGGUUCUGGCAUCGAUGAAGAACGCAGCGAAAUGCGAUAAGUAAUGUGAAUUGCAGAAUUCAGUGAAUCAUCGAAUCUUUGAACGCACAUUGCGCCCGCCAGUAUUCUGGCGGGCAUGCCUGUUCGAGCGUCAUUUCAACCCUCAGGUCCCCCCGCCUUCACCCGCGGGGGGACCUGGUGUUGGGGACCGGCGGCGCCCACCCCGGCGCCCGCCGCCCCCGAAAUGAAUUGGCGGUCUCGUCGCGGCCUCCCCUGCGUAGUAGCACACAAAACCCCGCAGCAGGAGCGCGGCGCGGCCUCUGCCGUAAAACGCCCCAACUUUUUCAAGAGUUGACCUCGAAUCAGGUAGGAAUACCCGCUGA